Molecule: ribosomal RNA, 497 nt
Filed under: uncultured bacterium
Lineage: Bacteria
Description: partial 16S ribosomal RNA
Rfam family: Bacterial small subunit ribosomal RNA
Source: RNAcentral
GAUGAACGCUGGCGGCGUGCCUAAUACAUGCAAGUCGAGCGAACAGACGAGGAGCUUGCUCCUCUGACGUUAACGGCGGACGGGUGAGUAAAACGUGGAUCACCUACCUUUAAGACUGGGAUAGCUUCCGGAAACCGGUACUAAUACCGGAUAAUAUCUUCAACCGCAUGGUUGAAUAGUGAAAGAGGGUUUUGCUGUCACUUAUAGAUGGAUCCGCGCUGCAUUAGCUAGUUGGUAAGGUAACGGCUUACCAAGGCGACGAUGCGUAGCCGACCUGCGAAGGGGAACGGCGACAGUGAGACUGAGAGACGGUCCAGACUCCUACGGGAGGCAGCAGUAGGGAAUGUUGCGAAAUGGGCGAAAGCCUGACGGAGCAGCGCCGGGUGAAUGAUGAAGGUCUUCGGAUCGUAAAACUCUGUUAUUAGGGAAGAACAAAUGUGUAAGUAACUAUGCACGUCUUGACGGUACCUAAUCAGGAAGCCACGGCUAACUACGUG